GAAUCUUUAAAGACCUUGGGUAUCCUUUUGCACUAUCCAAAAGCUCCAUGUACACAGUGGGGGCUCCUCAUACAUGGCCUCACAUUGUGGCAGCCUUAGUUUGGCUAAUAGACUGCAUCAAGGUAUUUGAUUUGUUCUUUUGAAAUGUAUACAUGGGAAAGGGUUUUUUUCCUCAAAAAAAUAUUUUCUCUCCCAGUCUUUUGACAGUAUUCUCAAAGUCUGCUUCAGAGUUUUCAUUUUUCAAAGCACAUUUGAUUUUAAGUUUUUCAAACUAUUAUCACAAGGUAA
RNAcentral lists this small RNA (288 nucleotides) under Pan troglodytes (chimpanzee). RNAcentral describes it as "retained intron". The record is from RNAcentral. Lineage: Eukaryota; Metazoa; Chordata; Mammalia; Primates; Hominidae.